UACGAAGGGGACUAGCGUUGUUCGGAAUUACUGGGCGUAAAGCGCACGUAGGCGGCUUUGUUAGUCAGGGGUGAAAUCCCGGGGCUCAACCUCGGAACUGCCUUUGAUACUGCAAGUCUCGAGUCCGAUAGAGGUGGGUGGAAUUCCUAGUGUAGAGGUGAAAUUCGUAGAUAUUAGGAAGAACACCGGUGGCGAAGGCGGCCCACUGGAUCGGUACUGACGCUGAGGUGCGAAAGCGUGGGGAGCAAACAGG
Molecule: ribosomal RNA, 253 nt
Filed under: uncultured bacterium
Lineage: Bacteria
Description: partial 16S ribosomal RNA
Rfam family: Bacterial small subunit ribosomal RNA
Source: RNAcentral